GAUGAACGCUGGCGGCGUGCCUAAUACAUGCAAGUCGAGCGAACGGACGAGAAGCUUGCUUCUCUGAUGUUAGCGGCGGACGGGUGAGUACACGUGGAUAACCUACCUAUAAGACUGGGAUAACUUCGGGAAACCGUAGCUAAUACCGGAUAAUAUUUUGAACCGCAUGGUUCAAAAGUGAAAGACGGUCUUGCUGUCACUUAUAGAUGGAUCCGCGCUGCAUUAGCUAGUUGGUAAGGUAACGGCUUACCAAGGCAACGAUGCAUAGCCGACCUGAGAGGGUGAUCGGCCACACUGGAACUGAGACACGGUCCAGACUCCUACGGGAGGCAGCAGUAGGGAAUCUUCCGCAAUGGGCGAAAGCCUGACGGAGCAACGCCGCGUGAGUGAUGAAGGUCUUCGGAUCGUAAAACUCUGUUAUUAGGGAAGAACAUAUGUGUAAGUAACUGUGCACAUCUUGACGGUACCCAAUCAGAAAGCCACGGCUAACUACGUG
This 496-nucleotide ribosomal RNA is filed under the name uncultured bacterium. RNAcentral describes it as "partial 16S ribosomal RNA". It matches the Rfam family "Bacterial small subunit ribosomal RNA", at positions 28 to 507 of the family's 1533-position model. The record is from RNAcentral.